CCGGGAUAUGUCGAAAGACAAUCUCCAUGACCCUUUUUUGUUUACAACAAAAAUGUCUUCUUCGGCAAGACGUUCAAUUUUUGACUCAAGAAUUGACCAUUGAUUCUUUUUUGUAACUAAAAGAGAAUGAAUGUGUUUUGCUUGCCGAAGGUUUUUUUAUAAAAACUCUUUUUUAUUAAUAAAGUCUGAGUAAUAAAACAAAAUAAAUUA
Molecule: unclassified non-coding RNA, 210 nt
Filed under: uncultured fungus
Lineage: Eukaryota; Fungi
Description: sequence contains ITS1
Source: RNAcentral